RNAcentral lists this ribosomal RNA (459 nucleotides) under uncultured bacterium. RNAcentral's name for it is "partial 16S ribosomal RNA". It matches the Rfam family "Bacterial small subunit ribosomal RNA", at positions 338 to 795 of the family's 1533-position model. The record is from RNAcentral.
UCUACGGGAGGCAGCAGUGAGGAAUAUUGGUCAAUGGUCGGGAGACUGAACCAGCCAAGCCGCGUGAGGGAUGAAGGUACAGAGUAUCGUAAACCUCUUUUGUCAGGGAACAAAGGCGGGGACGUGUCCCCGGAUGAGUGUACCUGAAGAAAAAGCAUCGGCUAACUCCGUGCCAGCAGCCGAGGUAAUACGGAGGAUGCGAGCGGUAUCCGGAUUUAUUGGGGUUAAAGGGUGCGUAGGCGGGCAUUUAAGCCGGCGGUCAAAUGUCGGGGCUCAAACCCGGCCUUCCGUCGGAACUGGGUGCCUUGAGUGGGCGAGAAGUAUGCGGAAUGCGUGGUGUAGCGGUGAAAUGCAUAGAUAUCACGCAGAACCCCGAUUGCGAAGGCAGCAUACCGGCGCCCUACUGACGCUGAGGCACGAAAGUGCGGGUAUCGAACAGGAUUAGAUACCCUAGUAGUC